UUAAGUAGUGCCAAGAAAGAACGCUGAACCUCAUCUAAGGCAACAGAAUGGCUUUGUAUUUUGGGAAAUCACCUCACUGUGAUGGUAGCCUCCUAAUAGACUUCCAGGAAGCCUGUCCUGGAGAGAAACCCACAGAAUGGCCCACUGACCAAAUGAAGAUGCACAUGACACAUGGUUUGUUGAAUCAAUUUGAAACAUACAGCAAGAAAAGGAAGUAAAUGGGGCAGAUUAAUAUACUACAAUAGGUUGCAAACAAGCAGUAAGGACCAUGCUACCAGGAUCUCGGGGAACACAGAUCCACAAUGUUAAUAUCCUUUCAUUAAUAUCAUCUCUGUGUGUGUGUGUCUGUGUCUUCCUGUCCCUCUCUCUCUUCCCCUCCCCUCUCCCUCCCUCCCUCCCUUUUCCUCUUUUUCCUAUCCCCUUUCUCUCUAUCACUCAGGCUUCCUUGCUGAUGGGGUAAGAGGUCCAAAGUUUAUGGUAUGCAGUAUUAGAGGAUGGCUGGAGCUCUUGGCCUACCAGAGAGGCACAAGGCAAAUGUGUUCUUUGUCAGAUGAGCUUGACACUUAGCCUACUGAGUGGUUAUGUAUUUUAUCUUUCUGUCUUUGCCAGAAAGACACGUGGGCCAGGUCCAGUGUCACCAAUAGGAGUCCUGUUUAAGAUAUCAUAAAUAUGGGUUCCCUGGGAGCUUUAUGACUACUUGAUGCUUAUGUAGUUUUUCUGUCCCUUCCUACUUACUUUACUGAUGUCUCCGAUGUCUCUCAGUUUACUUAUUUCCUCCUUGUUUCUCUUACUCUCUUUAGCAGAAUCAGAUAUUCAUAAAUAAUACAGCAAGCCUACACUGCAGUUUUCCUGAAGUAUGCAAGUACAUUAUUUCAGCAUAAUCCUAAAGGAUUAAUGGGGCAAACCAGAAAUGUCAGUCUGUGGACAGAUACAGUGCAGGGGAUGGAUGAGACAGGUGAUUAGAUUUAGGAGGAUCUCUCAUCAACCCACAAAACACCGAAUACUGGAGGGGCUCUGGGCAACCGAAGGACACUGGGACGUACGGGAGAGGCCGGACUGAGGGGCUGGGAGAAUUGUGAAGAAACAGAAGGUCGUGGUACUAGCGCCUUUGUGAGUCUUCCAAGUGGAAGCAAAGGUGGUGGUUCAAGGGCCUGUGCGAGCCUUGCCUGCCUGCUAUUCCGGGUGGCUGAAGACGUCCAGCUGUCAUUUGGAUUCAGUUCUGAUAGGUAGAACACAAAGAGGCAGUGAGGAAACUAGAGUGCGCUGGCCUUGUCUCAUCAUCCUGAUCUCUGUCAAGGUCUUAGAACCUUGACAUGGGUCCAUCAAAUAAAGGAACACUCUUCUAUUUACUAUCGGGUAUAAAUUAAGAGAAAACAAUAAUUCAUGAUCUUUUGGUUUUAACUCUAAUGGGUCUGUUUAUACGUAGUGUGUCCAAGACCAGAAAUAUUUCUGGGGAACAGGAGUGUAUAUAGUGACUGAGAAAACAGAAAUAUCCACUAAUGGUCAUAAGUAACCUUAAUGCAGCCUUAUUUUCAGUCAAGGUUUUGAGGAGAGAUCAUUGUUAAAAAAUACCCUAAAGAGAGACAAAGAUGUUAAUUCAGAAGCACGUCAGCAGGGCUGAGCUAUCUGAAGAGCAGACAUUACAAAUGAACUGUAUUUAACUUAUAUUUUAAUUGGGCCAUCCUCUGAAAUAGACUACACAGGCUGAUAGAAUAUUCAGGAAAAAUAAACUCUACUUCUAGAUUUAUGUAACAUUUACUCACUGUUAUUUUCAUUAUACUGAUUCUUAUAUGAAAAUUGGGCACCCAGAUAAUUUAUAGAAUCAUUAAAAUAUUUUACAGCAGUCCAUUUAACACAAAUCCUAAAUGAGAGAGGGAGAAUUUGAGGGCAAACUUUGGCAAGGCAGAACGACUGUCAGAUUUGAUAUGUGGGAACACCAGCAGCGAGGCUGUGAUCACACGUGCGCCGCAGCUCCUGUCAUUUCCCCGAGUUCACAGGUAAGGCAGAGAGUCGUACUGUUGGAGGAAUUCUGUGGAACGAAAGCAGACUGAAAAUAGGAACUUAAGUAAUUUCCCUAGAUUAAACUAGAUGAUCAUUUUACUCUAAUUAAAAAAAAAUUGUUUUAAAGCAUUACAAUUACAGAACUGGAGAAACUGCUUAGAAGAGUCACCUCAUUCAAGUCAUAGAUGACAAGAGUUAGGAAGCUGAAGAAGUUGCGCCUGUGCUGGAAGAGGAGGAAGUCUCACAGAGCCAGAAGUUAGAGUAACAAAGUCUCUGGGAGAAAGUACUAAGUGACGGAAGUGCCCAAUCUGAGGCUGCGACAAUCUUCCUAUUCCAUAUGGGAGGACAAGAAGGGGAGUUAGUUCUCAGCUAGCUGACAUGGCAGUCCUGUCCUUUGCUGAUUCCUCAGGAUGGCAUAAGCGUUUGAGGCGUGCUCCUCUGCUCAUGAUAUGAAGAUAUCACUCCGCCACAAGCGGGAGACAGAGGAAGAUUCACUUGACAACAGUACCGAGCAGCAGGAAUAAUGCCAACCCAGCAAUAUGCCAAGGUCUUUGGCAUGCACGGGCUUUUCUCUGGGGACAGAGAGACUGGUUAGGAGGCCACUGCUGUAAUGAAGGUGAGAGGUGAUUGUGACCUAAACCAGGGUGGUAGCAGUGGAGUUGGAAAGAGGUGAUCUAAUUCCGGGUAUAUUUCGAAGGUACAGGCAACCGGUUUUGCUAAAGAUAAUAUAUGAGGUAUAGGGGAGAGGGAUCCAGUGUGACUCGAAGGCUUUUUAUUUGAGCAAGAGAAACGAAGCAUUGGCAACUACGGAGAUGGAGAAGGCUGUGAUCGAACACAGUUCAGGGGAGCUAGAAAGUUCAAUUUCAGACAUGUUGGGUUGUCUGUUAGAAAUCCAAGUGGAAUUGUUGGGCAGGCAGUUGAACACGCAACUCUGGAGUUUGUGAGAGAGGUGUGGCUGGAGACAAAGUUUGAAGUAUGUCAGCAUAUCGAUAACCUUUUAAGCUAUGUAACUGUAGGAGAUUACCAUGGGAGGAAGGGUGUGAGGAAGAGAUGAGGAGGAAGCCAAAAAAAAAAAAGGUCAUCACUGCUAUGGAAGGAAAAAAAAAAUCAGAGAAGGUGUGUAGGGAUUAAUGGGGAAAUACUAUUUUAAGUAGGGUGAUAUUGUGAAAUUAGAGACCUUUCAUUUUCCCAAGAAGAAACCAGUAAUAAAUGGAUAAGAAGCAAUAAUCAAUAAUAAAAGACAUAAAACAAUUCUCUAGAGUAAAAAAAAAAGCUAAUGGGAUUCAUAGACUAGAAUGAUACACUGUAUUCCAGACAAAGUGGAUGAAAAUGGAAUCACACCUAUGAACAUUCUCAGGAAAAUGUUGGCUAUUGAAGAUAAAGAAACCACCCUACAAGCAUCCAGGUAGAGCACAUGGAUGGCUCAUAAAGGAAUGCGUAUCAGGCUACUUCGGUCUUUUUCAUAAGAACACCUGCCCAAAGAAUGCCAUCUAAGACGUUCCUCUUUCCAAGCAGAGUCACAUUUACACAUAAGAACAAGUGUGGAAGGACCCAGAAAAUACCAUUGCGUCCUCUUACAAACAACAAACAAAAGGUCAAGUAUAUUCUUAGGUUACUGUGAAAGACACAAGAACUGUGGUGAGCAAUGAUGAAAGGAAACACACACACAGGGAGGGGGGCGAAGAGAGAGAGACCACGAGAAGUCCAACUAUUCCUGGUACUGUGACCUGAGAGGAGUUUUUUCCUCCCACUUAAUUUUUUUGGAGAAGGAAGCACUGAGUGUCGGUAAAGGACAGUAUCUUUGAGCACAUCUGUAUAUUAAGUACAUAACAUAUUUCAUAUGGCUAUUCUUUUUAAAAAAUAAUGCCAUUUAGGUUAGAUUUAUGAUAUGGUGGCAAAAAGAAUUUACUGAAAGUAAACAUCCCAGAGGUUCAUUUCUUUUCAUGAGGUUUCAUUCUGUUACAGAUUUUUGAGUAUCUUGAACACGCACAUACUGGUGGCUCUCCUCACCAAAUGUUCUCUCCCUUAACUGAGAUGUUGAAAGUUGUUUGGAAGUGAUUUUGAGAUUUUGCUUCCUGAAAUCUAACAGUAAAAUGUGAUCAUUGAGGUUAACAGCGAAGUGACUAUUUUCUUGAGAAAACCAUUGUGCCCAACAAAAUCUUAAGUGGAAGACUUAUGCUUAAUGUGAAAGUUUUGUUACCCGUGGUUAGAUGCAAAGGUAUAACAACGAACAGUUAUUCUCUUCUACCACUUAGUGCUAUUGGCCUAAAUCUGUCUCAUCAAAGAGAAAGUCACAGUAGACACACUAACUAAAACUAUGGUAGAUGUAUUAUAAUUUUUAAAAUUUAAAAUAAGUUAUAUUAAACUGUUUUUUAAAAAUUUUUGUUUCACUCAAAUGUAUACUGCUCAUACUGUCAUAAAUGAAAAUAACUUUGA
Molecule: long non-coding RNA, 4437 nt
Organism: Phyllostomus discolor (pale spear-nosed bat)
Lineage: Eukaryota; Metazoa; Chordata; Mammalia; Chiroptera; Phyllostomidae
Exons: 4
Source: RefSeq, a predicted model, not a curated record